CUUCAAUAGUUCCUAAUCGCCCGCUGCUAGGCAUGUGGAAUCUAUCAUCCUGAGGAGAAAUUCUGAAUAAAAAGUGGCCAACAGUGAGGGCUUUUGUGAUGACCCAGGCACACUUCCUCCAACAGCUACAUAUCUGGAACCCAACUCUGCAGGACAGCAGUAUUUGAUGCUGUGGACGACAACAACGCUGCAAACAGCAUGGUUCUGUUUCGUGAUGUAGAUAUAAUAGAUGUAAUGAAUGCCGCUAGGUCCUGUGUCCACCAUACAUUUGAAAUGCAUUUAACUGGAAAACCGGUGCAGCUCUUUCAUCGUCCAUCAGAGGCCCCCAAAGCUCAAACCAGCCCUGCUUAUUUGCAGGUCAAACUCCCAACUCUCAGUCCCUGCAUUUUCCAUCACAGUGGAAGUGUCCCCCAUGCCCUGUAUAAGCUCAACGGAUUCAAUUAGGAGUGUUGCCGGGGGCACCGAUGUUCAGCAUGGGGCAGAGGAGGUCUGAUGCCUGGGUCACACGGCCUAAAUCAUGGAUGCAGGGAUCCUCAUUGUGGAGUACAAGUGUGCCCAGCUUGCCCCGGUACGGAAAAAGUACCGCUCUGGGACAGGUGUAGCUUGGAUCUUGGUGUGGUUGUGUUAAAAGUUUGUACUUUUCAAAGUGCUUGGUAUUCAUGUAAUUGUCAACAUGUUGAACAUAAUGAAUUUG
Molecule: long non-coding RNA, 694 nt
Organism: Anguilla anguilla (European eel)
Lineage: Eukaryota; Metazoa; Chordata; Actinopteri; Anguilliformes; Anguillidae
Exons: 3
Source: RefSeq, a predicted model, not a curated record